This 301-nucleotide ribosomal RNA is filed under the name uncultured bacterium. RNAcentral's name for it is "partial 16S ribosomal RNA". It matches the Rfam family "Bacterial small subunit ribosomal RNA", at positions 509 to 807 of the family's 1533-position model. The record is from RNAcentral.
CAGCCGCCACGGUAAUACAGAGGGUGCAAACGUUGUUCGGAAUUACUGGGCGUAAAGCGAGUGUAGGCGGUUCGGUAAGUCGGAUGUGAAAGCUCCGGGCUCAACCCGGGAAGUGCACUCGAUACUACCAAGCUAGAGUACUGGAGAGGUUGGUGGAAUUCUCGGUGUAGAGGUGAAAUUCGUAGAUAUCGAGAGGAACACCGGUGGCGAAGGCGGCCAACUGGACAGAUACUGACGCUGAGACUCGAAAGCGUGGGGAGCAAACAGGAUUAGAUACCCGUGUAGUCCCUGUCUCUUAUAC